GAUGAACGCUGGCGGCGUGCCUAAUACAUGCAAGUCGAGCGAACAGACGAGGAGCUUGCUCCUCUGACGUUAGCGGCUGACGGGUGAGUAACACGUGGAUAACCUACCUAUAAGACUGGGAUAACUUCGGGAAACCGGAGCUAAUACCGGAUAAUAUAUUGAACCGCAUGGUUCAAUAGUGAAAUACGGUUUUGCUGUCACUUAUAGAUGGAUCCGCGCCGCAUUAGCUAGUUGGUAAGGUAACGGCUUACCAAGGCAACGAUGCGUAGCCGACCUGAGAGGGUGAUCGGCCACACUGGAACUGAGACACGGUCCAGACUCCUACGGGAGGCAGCAGUAGGGAAUCUUCCGCAAUGGGCGAAAGCCUGACGGAGCAACGCCGCGUGAGUGAUGAAGGUCUUCGGAUCGUAAAACUCUGUUAUUAGGGAAGAACAAAUGUGUAAGUAACUAUGCACGUCUUGACGGUACCUAAUCAGAAAGCCACGGCUAACUACGUG
RNAcentral lists this ribosomal RNA (497 nucleotides) under uncultured bacterium. Its description in RNAcentral is "partial 16S ribosomal RNA". It matches the Rfam family "Bacterial small subunit ribosomal RNA", at positions 28 to 507 of the family's 1533-position model. The record is from RNAcentral.